Molecule: ribosomal RNA, 395 nt
Filed under: Pseudarthrobacter sp.
Lineage: Bacteria; Bacillati; Actinomycetota; Actinomycetes; Micrococcales; Micrococcaceae
Description: bacterial SSU rRNA
Rfam family: Bacterial small subunit ribosomal RNA
Source: RNAcentral
CANCNUGAUGCAGCGACGCCGCGUGAGGGAUGACGGCCUUCGGGUUGUAAACCUCUUUCAGUAGGGAAGAAGCGUAAGUGACGGUACCUGCAGAAGAAGCGCCGGCUAACUACGUGCCAGCAGCCGCGGUAAUACGUAGGGCGCAAGCGUUAUCCGGAAUUAUUGGGCGUAAAGAGCUCGUAGGCGGUUUGUCGCGUCUGCCGUGAAAGUCCGGGGCUCAACUCCGGAUCUGCGGUGGGUACGGGCAGACUAGAGUGAUGUAGGGGAGACUGGAAUUCCUGGUGUAGCGGUGAAAUGCGCAGAUAUCAGGAGGAACACCGAUGGCGAAGGCAGGUCUCUGGGCAUUAACUGACGCUGAGGAGCGAAAGCAUGGGGAGCGAACAGGAUUAGAUACC